Molecule: ribosomal RNA, 419 nt
Filed under: bacterium
Lineage: Bacteria
Description: partial 16S ribosomal RNA
Rfam family: Bacterial small subunit ribosomal RNA
Source: RNAcentral
UGGGGGAUAUUGCACAAUGGGCGAAAGCCUGAUGCAGCGACGCCGCGUGGGGGAUGAAGGCCUUCGGGUUGUAAACUUCUUUUGCUCUGAACAAGGCAUGCUAAUGGGUGUGUUGAGUGUAGGGGUUGAUUAGCGCCGGCUAACUACGUGCCAGCAGCCGCGGUAAUACGUAGGGCGCGAGCGUUGUCCGGAAUUAUUGGGCGUAAAGGGCUUGUAGGUGGCUGGUUGCGUCUGUCGUGAAAGCUCAUGGCUUAACUGUGGGUUUGCGGUGGGUACGGGCUGGCUUGAGUGCAGUAGGGGAGGCUGGAAUUCCUGGUGUAGCGGUGGAAUGCGCAGAUAUCAGGAGGAAUACCGGUGGCGAAGGCGGGUCUCUGGGCGGUUACUGACACUGAGGAGCGAAAGCAUGGGGAGCGAACAGG